CGUGAAUCAUCGAAUCUUUGAACGCAAAUUGCACUCCUUGGCAUCCCGGGGAGUAUGCCUGUUUGAGGGUCAGUAUAUUAAAAAUCGGUGCGUCGCAUGAUGCUCCGGAGUAUGGGUCAUCUUAGCUGUGAAGGUUUUAAGAGGCUUAAAA
This 151-nucleotide ribosomal RNA is filed under the name Glomus sp. CMCCROC8. Its description in RNAcentral is "5.8S ribosomal RNA". The stretch from base 1 to 72 matches the Rfam family "5.8S ribosomal RNA", at positions 83 to 154 of the family's 154-position model. Lineage: Eukaryota; Fungi; Glomeromycota; Glomeromycetes; Glomerales; Glomeraceae. The record is from RNAcentral.